This 5498-nucleotide long non-coding RNA is filed under the name Daucus carota (carrot). Its description in RNAcentral is "long non-coding RNA (DCAR_LNC000570)". The record is from RNAcentral. Lineage: Eukaryota; Viridiplantae; Streptophyta; Magnoliopsida; Apiales; Apiaceae.
GAGUCAAAGGACGCGCCCUGAUAGGGAGGACGUGUCCUUCCCAAUUCCCGUCUUCAUCCCUGUUUACUGGACAAGAGACUGCACUCCCCGGGUUAUGUCCGGAGGAGGGCGCGUCCUCCCCUCUACAUGGUGUACAAAAACGGCUACAACACCUCGGAAGAGUCGUCGUAUCCCCCGGAGGGGUCGUCAUAUCCCCCGGAGGGGUAGGUCUUCCUAUCCCCGGAGGGGCGGUCUUCGUCUCCCUCGGAAGGGUUGUCUCAGCGAAUGUACGCUCUCCCAUAGGAAGAGCCUUCUCACAAUAUGUGUUUACAUGUGGGAGCGACCCCUGAGGGCGCGCCCUUGCCUUCGCCGUCUCGUCCCAUCGACCACUCCAACAACACAUCAGACAGGUCCUUCUUUAACAUGAGGUCGCGCCCCCGGGUAGGCGAGGACACCCCGUUAAAGGCACGCCCUUGGUCUUCAUCUCAUGGUCAACUUCUUACAAGGGACGCGCCCCCUCGGUCACCUCCGAAGAGGGCGCGCCCUCCUCCAUAGAUUACACGACGUGGGUGGACGGAGGUCGGUCGCGUCUCUCCAUCAACACUCUCAAGUAAGGCGUCCCUCCUUGUGACUCGGAAGACGCGUCCUCUUCACGCAACAUCAAGGGUCGGUCGCGUCCUCCCUUUAUAAGCAGGAGGACGCGUCCUCUUCAUGGGACACGUGUGACCUGGAGGACGCAUCCCUCCUUCCGAUGCGGAGGACGCGUCCUCUUCAUUAAGAUACGCAACAUCGGCGGAUCAGUCACGUCACGGAGGGCUGCGCCCUUUCGUUCAGACUAGUCUCUUCAAGGGUCGGUCGCGUCAUUCCUUUGUAACUCGGAGGACGCGUCCCGAUACCUCAUAUAGGACUCUUAGCCCAAUUCAUGUGUUACUAAGUACAUAUCCGGCCCAACAAGGACCUAGCCAAAUUUGGCUAUAACAAGUACUCCCCAAGUUUUCUUGAUAUUGGAGAUAUCAGGGAAAUUUUUACUCCAUACCACACAUCCUCUUCCGAGAGCGCGUCCGUGCAUAGAGGCGCGACGUAAGCCACUUCUAUUCCUCGAUAUUCCAAGAUGUAGGUUGUGCACAAGCCUUGCAUGUAUACAAUGUCGAUGUCUUUGCUCAUUUUGCAAAGUGGAUAAGCAUGAGGCUAGCGCAUCUUUAUGAUGUGUUCAUAAGUAAUGAGCAACCUUUGUGUAGAUAAAAGGAAACAGGGGGCGCGGCCUAUCUGUCGUUGACAGUGGCGCAUCUUCGCUUAUUCCUUCCAAAGGGCACAUUUAACCAUAACAUUCGCGCUAAUGAACUUCAACAAAAGAAGGGCGCGCCUUCGCUGUGCGAAGGUUUAUGGCUAUUUUUCAGCCUUACUGUGUCCAUGGUACCUAGGAAUAGUAUAAGGCGCGACUUACGGAAUGGCGCCACCUUGUUAUAACAUGACCCCUUUUUUUAUCUUCUUAAAGAAUUGCCUAAGUAGAGGGCGCGGCUGAUGGCACUGCCUUGCAAUAUAUCUUUUCUUUCAAGGACUAUAUAAGCAGAGGGCGCAGCCUUACUUGUAAUGUGGGCUCUUUUGAUCUUUUCCAAGGAUUAAGUAGAGGGCGCGGCCUUUGGCGCAACCUUACUUUUUCACGCGUGAAUCACUUGCUUAAGAAAAUCAAGAGGACCACUCCCCAGUCCAUACAUCUUCCCAUAUGGGGCAUCACGAAUCUUAUCGUGGUUUACAUAACUCCGGUGCAUCGCACAGGUCCCAGAGCUCAUAGCUCAAUGGGGAAUUAAUAGUAUAAAAUGUUAUCCAGAGCAUAUCAUGGAUAUGUAAGAUCCAGAGUGUAUCAUGGAUGCGCAACUACAGUAUCCAGAGCGUAUCAUGGAUAUGUAAAUAAUUAUAGCAUCCAGAGUAGAUCGUGGAUGACAUCCAGAGCGUAUCAUGGAUGCGCUAGUAUCCAGAGCGUAUCAUGGAUAAUUAGGUAACCUCUGAAAGGCCUUAAGUGUAUCAUGAUCAAAGACCUCGCAGGUAUCAUGCUACGUUCCUGUAGAACGGAGGGCGCGCCCUCAUCAAGAUGGACAGCUCCUUUAGCAUGUUGGACUUGCCCUGCGCUUUAUCAUGUAUAUGACUUAAUACUGAUGGUCAGUGUUACCUCAUGACGUGCCCUGUUAGGGGAAGGCGCGUCCUCCCAAAUUAUCAACCCUGGAAACAUGACUUUGGAACUCGGGGUGCGUCCAACUAGGAGGAGGCGCGUCUUUGAAGCAUCUCCCUUCUCAACCUUAUUAUCCUGGGGGCGCGCCCUCAUGCGCUUCCUCAAGUGAUGAGUACUUCCGAGAGGGCGCGCCCUAGGGAGGGACGUGACCUCUUCAAGACUAGUGAGCUCCUUCCUGAGUAUGUUUGUCUUCACAAAAUAUCAUAUGAAGCAAUUAAUGCAUCAGACAUACCAGAGGGCGCGCCCUGUCAGAGGGAGGCGCGCAAUUCGUUCUCUUGAUAGAAUACUGGUUGGAUAUGGCGUACCCCUUUAGGAGGGCGCGCCUUGUUGGAGGAAAGUGCGACUACUCCUCACGGAGAAGAGGUGUAUUCCUCAUAAAGGUAACACCAUAUUACCUGUGAAUUUAUACAUGUAGUAGUCUUAGGGAACCAAAUAUUGAGGGAGUUUAGUAUUUACCUGAGGGCGCGCCCGGUCAGGGGAAGGCGCGCACCCUUACGACUUUUCGAGCUAGGUUCCAUCUGAAUAGCUCGCCCCCCGUAACUUUCCCUAGAGGCGCGCCCUGGCAAGGGAAGGCGCGACUUCUUCGAAAAUGUUAAAGGGUGCAUCCCUCAUGGUGGUGGUCGAACACCACGUUACCUGUAGUUUUCAACGUGCCAUACUUCUAGAGAAUGCAGUAACGAGGAGGUUUAGAGUAGAGUUUACCUGGAGGCGCGCCCUGUUAGGGGGAGGCGCGCUCUUUGAAACUUUUCAAGCUUCGCUCCAUUUGAAUAACUCUCCGCUCGUAACUUUCCCUUUCAUAUCAUUAUCUGCGGUCAGGUCUUCAACACGUGCCUCUCGUGAACCUCAAAUUACUUGCUCUGGGGAGGGCGCGCCCCUUCAGAAAACCGUUGAGGCUUCCAGGGAGGCGAUCUCCUUCUCGUAAAGACUCAAACCACAACAGACUUGUUAGCAAUAACAUGCGAAAGCAUUGUGAGAAUCUUACCCGGAGGUGCGCCUUCUUCGGAGAUGUCAGGGAAUUCAUUCCUCACGGUGGUAGUCGAGCACCACAUCAUUUGGAGGUGUACCCUGUCCGGGGGGAGGUGUACUCUGUCCGGGGGAGGUAUACCUUGUCCGGGGGAGGUGUACUCUGUCCGGGGGAGGUGUACUCUCUUCGUAGGUGUUAGGUCUCCGAAAAUCGCAUCCUUCGCUGACUCCCCGGUCCAGAAUACCUUGUUCGCAUAUUAGGUUACCUCCUAGAAUUUCGUUGAUGAUCGUCCUCCUUCAAACUCCCGAUGGAGAUAUCGUCCUUUUCUGGAGAAGUAGAUGAAGGUCUCCUCUUCUCUUGUGUUCUAGCCAUCGCCCUCCCGGAAAAUGCUCCGCCUCUACGUGCGAAUCUCCGUCAUGUGACAUCUCUUCCUCCUAAGAUGAAGAUCUUGAAUAGCCCCUCCUUCUAGCGCCAAUUUGUUGAUAGAGGAAUUUGGUAAUCAACAAAGAUGAGGUUCAUGGCCGGAAUCAAGAUCCGUGACGGUGGUUUUGGUCGCCGGAGAGUGGUGGUUGUUUGUUUUAGGGGGUGGCUGAGAUUAGGGUUUUGAGUUGGUCUCACGUGCUCUCAACUCAUGAUCCCCCAAUGUGCCUACGUACCCCUAUAUUUAUAGGGGAUCAAGCCAUACGUAGUUCUAUUGAACCAGGAGUCCUAGUUUGAUCAGGACUAGGCCUCUUGGCAAUAAGGUCGGAGAUAGGCCGAAGGCCCAUCUUGGAGAAUCCUACUCCUGUUAGAAUUAGUCUUGAGUAUGACUACCUCAGACUCCUAAUCCAAAUAGAUCACGGAUUCAACGAUAUCUCCACUACGAGAGAUAGCAUCUACCACGACUCUUAUGGAGAAGUUAUCUGGGGGAGCCAUGACUAACCCCUCGAGGUGCAGGGACACGUCCUCACCUCUCGGUGAGGUCUUCAUCUUCAAACAAGGUAGACAAGGAGCCAAAUUACACGAUCGUCUCAAUCCCCCGAUGAGGGCUAACUCACCAGAAUACAGGAUCCAGACAUAUGAUCGGCCUUCGUGUUACCCCGGAGGGCCUUCAAGAGCCAUGAUCACCUCAAGCCCCCACACGAGGGUUAACUCGGCAGAUAGCAGGAUUGAGGAUUGUAGAUCAUGCCCGGAUGAGCCCGGGAACUAUCAGAUGAGCCUGAUAACUACCAAAUGAGCUUGGUAACUAGUCUUCAUAUCCCUCGGAAGGGUCGUCACGGAGACUCACUCAUCCUCUCUCUUUCAUCAUGUAUUUCAUAACUAUGCCUCUUCUGAGUCAAAGGACGCGCCCUGAUAGGGAGGACGUGUCCUUCCCAAUUCCCGUCUUCAUCCCUGUUUACUGGACAAGAGACCGCACCUCCCGGGCCAUGUCUGGGGAGGGCGCGUCCUUCCCUUAUCUUGUCUUCAAUCCUCCUUACUGGACAAGAGACCGCACCUCCCGGGCCAUGUCUGGGGAGGGCGCGUCCUCCCCUCCACAUGAUAUACAAAAACGGCUACAACACCUCGGAAGAGUCGUCGUAUCCCCCGGAGGGGUCGUCAUAUCCCCCCGGGGGGGUAGGUCUUCCUAUCCCCGGAGGGACGGUCUUCGUCUCCCUCGGAAGGGUUGUCUCAGCGAAUGUACACUCUCCCAUAAGAAGAGCCUUCUUACAACACAUCAGACAGGUCCUUCUUUAACAUGAGGUCGCGCCCCCGGGGAGGCGAGGACACCCCGUUAAAGGCACGCCCUUGGUCUUCAUCUCAUUGUCAACUUCUUACAAGGGACGCGCCCCUCGGUCACCUCCGAAGAGGGCGCGCCCUCCUCCAUAGAUUACACGACGUGGGUGGACGGAGGUCGGUCGCGUCUCUCCAUCAACACUCUCAAGUAAGGCGUCCCUCCUUGUGACUCGGAGGACGCGUCCUCUUCACGCAACACCAAUGGUCGGUCGCAUCCUCCCUUUAUAAGCAGGAGGACGCCUCCUCUUCACGCAACACCAAGGGUCGAUCGCAUCCUCCCUUUAUAAGCAGGAGGACGCGUCCUCUUCAUGGGACACGUGUGACCUGGAGGACGCAUCCCUCCUUCCGAUGCGGAGGACGCGUCCUCUUCAUUAAGAUACGCAACAUCGGCGGAUCAGUCACGUCACGGAGGGCUGCGCCCUUUCGUUCAGACUAGUCUCUUCAAGGGUCGGUCGCGUCAUUCCUUUGUAACUCGGAGGACGCGUCCCGAUACCUCAUAUAGGACUCUUAGCCCAAUUCAUGUGUUACUAAGUACAUAUCCGGCCCAACAAGGACCUAGCCAAAUUUGGCUAUAAC